This 254-nucleotide ribosomal RNA is filed under the name uncultured bacterium. RNAcentral describes it as "partial 16S ribosomal RNA". It matches the Rfam family "Bacterial small subunit ribosomal RNA", at positions 524 to 776 of the family's 1533-position model. The record is from RNAcentral.
UACAGAGGUCUCAAGCGUUGUUCGGAUUCAUUGGGCGUAAAGGGCGCGUAGGCGGCCACUGCAUGUCAGUUGUGAAAUCUCCGGGCUUAACUCGGAAAGGUCAACUGAUACUGCAGGGCUAGAGUGCAGAAGGGGCAACUGGAAUUCUCGGUGUAGCGGUGAAAUGCGUAGAUAUCGAGAGGAACACCUGCGGCGAAGGCGGGUUGCUGGGCUGACACUGACGCUGAAGCGCGAAAGCCAGGGGAGCGAACGGG